AAAGAUCCAGGAGGAGGAGAAAACCCAGAACCCUGCAGGGAGAAGGAGCUGACUCCACCGAGGCCCAGGCCCUGGGGGAGGAGGAGCAGGGCUGCGGAGCUCUUGGGAGAUGUCCUUCCAGAUUAGAAUGGUUUCUAUUUUCCUGCCCAGACCCUGAUUUGCAUAAAAGGAAAAAUGACUGCCACACGCGGCACCAACAGUCCCUAAAGGCAGGAGAGGAGCCUGUCAGGCAACGCUGUCACUCACACCAGACGGGGUGGAUCUUCCAGACCCCCGCCCCUCCCACUCAGGCUCCCCAACAGCCAGUGGGUUCUGGAGCCGCCCGAUUCUGCUGGCUGGGACUGGCCCAAGGCUGCACCGUGCCCUGGCUGCCCAGGAGGAUGGGAAAGCAAGGCCUGGCGCUUUCCACCGCUGCCCCAGGGACUACGGGUGGGGAGCCUGGACAUCCCACAGCACCUGCCCCCCCGGGGGGGCUCCAUCCUCACUGCUGCUCCAGGGACGGCCUCGCCCUGCCUGGACCAGCUCCUGUCCCCUGCUGUCCUGAUCCACUUCUGAGCUUGGGGGACUCCCCAGCUGAGUGACGGGACCAGGUCACAUGCUCCACCCUUAGGCCUGAGCCCCACAAAAAGACGGGGAGAGUGAGGGCUUAUUUACCCGUGUAUGGUUCCCAGAGGGUGCAGAGAUGGUGUCGGGAAGCCCCGUCAGGAAGUUAGCGCCAGGGAAGCCACGUGAACAUGUCAUGAUCAUUGUUGGUGUCACAUCGAUUUCUGAGGGUGAAUUUCUGGCUAGUGCUGGACACACGCUAGCUUUUUGCCAUUCUCUCAUUCCUCUUGUCAAUGAAGCAUGAAAGGGACUUGUAAAUGAGCCAUUUGCUUCCUCUCUGCAUGGCCCAGGCCUCCCCACCCCCAGCCAUGCCUGGAAAUGAUGGCAGUUUAAGUGCAAACACAGGGACCCCUGUCUGACCAUGUCCCAUGCCAGGCUGAGGGUUAGUACAACGCAGGUGUCUUACAGAGCUUGCUUCCUACUCAGAGGUCGUUGGGAAGGUCAGUGAUGACUUCUCUGCUUCUGUCCACACUUCCUUCGCUGCUGUCCUAACCGGAAGCCAUCUCAUCGUGGUUUCUGCUCCCCACAUAUCCAUUCUCACUUUACGAAGAGUCAGAGAGGCAUGAAGCCCCAAACCUGCUGUGUGCUGGAAGAGACUCUGCUCAGAGGCAGUCCACACGUUCACAGCUUUAAAACGACUUGGCAGUUUGUCUAUAGCAUGUCCUGUGGCCUGAAAGGGAGUGAAAACCUGCCCACAUCUGUUAGUGAUUAAUUGAUCAGCUGUUGGAGCUUGAUGAACCUUUGUGACAGUCAAAUCAGCGGCUAAGCAUCCUGGUCCACUGGCCAGGGAU
Long non-coding RNA from Marmota monax (woodchuck), 1394 nucleotides. RefSeq lists it as uncharacterized. The transcript is spliced from 3 exons. The record is from RefSeq and is a predicted model, not a curated record. Lineage: Eukaryota; Metazoa; Chordata; Mammalia; Rodentia; Sciuridae.